This 465-nucleotide ribosomal RNA is filed under the name uncultured bacterium. Its description in RNAcentral is "bacterial SSU rRNA". It matches the Rfam family "Bacterial small subunit ribosomal RNA", at positions 33 to 507 of the family's 1533-position model. The record is from RNAcentral.
GGACGACGCUGGCGGCGUGCUUAACACAUGCAAGUCGAACGGUAAGGCCCUUCGGGGGUACACGGAGUGGCGAACGGGUGAGUAACACGUGGGUGAUCUGCCCUGCACUUCGGGAUAAGCCUGGGAAACUGGGUCUAAUACCGGAUAGGACCAUGGACUUCACGGUUUGUGGUGGAAAGCUUUUGCGGUGUGGGAUGGGCCCGCGGCCUAUCAGCUUGUUGGUGGGGUAAUGGCCUACCAAGGGCGACGACGGGUAGCCGGCCUGAGAGGGUGUCCGGCCACACUGGGACUGAGAUACGGCCCAGACUCCUACGGGAGGCAGCAGUGGGGAAUAUUGCACAAUGGGCGCAAGCCUGAUGCAGCGACGCCGCGUGAGGGAUGACGGCCUUCGGGUUGUAAACCUCUUUCAAUAGGGACGAAGCGCAAGUGACGGUACCUAUAGAAGAAGCACCGGCCAACUACGUG